RNAcentral lists this ribosomal RNA (301 nucleotides) under uncultured bacterium. Its description in RNAcentral is "partial 16S ribosomal RNA". It matches the Rfam family "Bacterial small subunit ribosomal RNA", at positions 509 to 807 of the family's 1533-position model. The record is from RNAcentral.
CAGUAGCCGCGGGAAUACGAAGGGGGCUAGCGUUGCUCGGAAUUACUGGGCGUAAAGGGCGCGUAGGCGGACAGUUAAGUUGGGGGUGAAAGCCCGGGGCUCAACCUCGGAAUUGCCUUCAAUACUGGCUGUCUUGAGUAUGAGAGAGGUGUGUGGAACUCCGAGUGUAGAGGUGAAAUUCGUAGAUAUUCGGAAGAACACCAGUGGCGAAGGCGACACACUGGCUCAUUACUGACGCUGAGGCGCGAAAGCGAGGGGAGCAAACAGGAUUAGAUACCCCGGUAGUCCCUGUCUCUUAUAC